RNAcentral lists this ribosomal RNA (253 nucleotides) under uncultured bacterium. RNAcentral's name for it is "partial 16S ribosomal RNA". It matches the Rfam family "Bacterial small subunit ribosomal RNA", at positions 524 to 776 of the family's 1533-position model. The record is from RNAcentral.
UACAGAGGGUGCGAGCGUUAAUCGGAUUUACUGGGCGUAAAGGGCGCGUAGGCGGUGAUGUGAGUGUGAUGUGAAAGCCCCGGGCUUAACCUGGGAAGUGCAUCGCAAACGACAUGACUGGAGUAUAUGAGAGGGUGGCGGAAUUUCCGGUGUAGCGGUGAAAUGCGUAGAGAUCGGAAGGAACGUCAAUGGCGAAGGCAGCCACCUGGCAUAAUACUGACGCUGAGGCGCGAAAGCGUGGGGAGCGAACAGG